CUCUUCAAUAUUUUUACAUGAUUUUCAGUUUAAAAGAAAAACCUCCUGUUUCUCACUUUGGUGUAUUAAAAGAUCAUUAUUUCUGCCUCCUCCUAGCUACUGUCCUUUAAAGGCCCCCCACUCCCAGCCUACUUUUAUUUCUGAUCUCCCCUGUUUGUAUCUCAACUGUUUGUCUAUUUCGUCCUCAGGUUGUAUGACUCGGUUUCAUCUUCCAUAAAUUUGCUCAACAUCAGAUGGAGAAGAUGAGUGAUUGUGUCGAGGAAGAGGAGGGCAGAGCGAAGUCUGUCAUGUCUGACUGUCUGUCUUUGAAGAGUGACUGGUCUAAAGGUUCACCACUGGACUUCAGUAAAGAACCAGGACCCUCAGAUGCAGAGUAAGAGAAACACUUUUUAACCUCCAAACUCUCAAACAGUCAUUAAUGAUGCUCUAAAUUCUGACCCCUCUGUUUUCUACCAUGGAGCGAAAAAUGAUCUCUGCUCUCAAAAUGGUGAUUUUCCUGUUUAAUAUGCCAACCUGGAGAAAAUGAAGAAAAAGUCACUGAGCACAUAUUCAUUUAUUAUUCAUAAUGUUUAUGAAAAUGAAGGAUGUAUAAAACAGCAUUUAAAAAGGAUUCUGACCUCAGUUUUUUCUGAUUUGGUUCCUGUUUUUGGAACGUUUUGAGCCUGUAAGUCUUUGGACUGUGGUGUGUAGACCCCAGAAAACAGUCUGUGGGUCACAAAAUACCAGAAGACCAAUGAAGAAAUAAUUCCUGAGAAAUAAAAAACUAAUUCAGAGCGUCUUUCUGUUAUUCGACCUUUAGAUCUGAUUGGUCAAAAAAAUGUUUUAAACUGUCAGAGAAAAUCUCUCUACCUUCAAAAUUCACAGUUUAGUUUUUCUCCUGUCACCACACUUUCAGGCAGCAGCAGCUGAAUAUUUUACAGGAGAUUGUUUUAUGUUUGAGGAAAGAGUGAGGUCAGAAACUCUGGUUUAAUAAAUGCUUCUUAUUCUGUAUCUUCCAAAUGAUAAUGAUAAAGAAAAUAAAUGUUCUUUAUUUCCAUAGAGAGACAGAGAGAUUUGACUCUGUGGAGGAGCAGCUGUCCAGAUAUCUCAACUCUAAAAGAAGUAAGUCUGAACAUCUGUUCUCUAAAGUCUCUGUCGAUGAAAACACAGCUGACUGAUUGAUCACAAAGAUGUUUUAGUGUUGAGCAGUUUGGUUCAUUUUAUUUUUCUUCUCUUUUAGCAGAUCGCAGUCUGCAGGAGGUUUUAGAUGAACAUAAGAUCAGUCUGAAGAGGAGAUGUGAACGUGUGAAUGAAGGAAGUGAUGAAAGGGGGAGGCAAACCCUCCUCAACAUGAUCUUCACUGACCUCUACAUCACAGAAGGACUGAGUGAAGAGGUGAACACCCAACAUGAGUCGAGACAGCUGGAGACAGCUUCAAAGAUGAAGACCCUCAGUGACACGCCCAUCAAGUGCCAUGAAAUCUUCAGAGUCUUACCAGGUCAACAGGAAGUCCUCAGAGUGGUUCUGACCAACGGCGUCGCUGGUGUUGGAAAAACCUUCUCAGUGCAGAAGUUCACUCUAGACUGGGCAGAGGGUUUGGAGAACCAAGACCUCAAUCUGGUGGUCCUGCUUUCAUUCAGGGAACUGAACCUGAUCAGAGAUGAGCCCUACAGUCUUCUGAGUCUGCUCCAUGUUUUCCAUCCAACACUAGAGAAGGUCACAGCAGAGACGCUGGCUGUCUGUAAACUUCUGUUCAUCUUUGACGGUCUGGAUGAAAGCAGACUGUCUCUGGAUUUCACAGACUCUGAGGUCGUUUCUGACGUCACACAGAAGUCAUCAAUAAACGUUCUGUUAACAAACCUCAUCAAGGGAAAUCUGCUUCCCUCAGCUCUCAUCUGGAUAACUUCUCGACCUGCAGCAGCCAAUCAGAUCCCUCCUUCAUGUGUGGACAGGGUAACAGAAGUACGAGGCUUCACUGACGCCCAGAAGGAGGAGUACUUCAGGAAGAGGUUCAGAGAUGAAGAUCUGUCCAGAAGAAUCAUCUCACACAUCAAGUCCUCCAGGAGCCUCCACAUCAUGUGUCAGAUCCCGGUCUUCUGCUGGAUCACUGCAACAGUUCUGGAGGACAUGAUGAGCAGAGAGCAGAGAGGAGAGCUGCCCAAGACCCUGACUGACAUGUACUCACACUUCCUGCUGGUCCAGACUAAGAAGAAGAAGCAGAAGUAUGAAGGGGGACAUGAGACAAGUUCUCAGGAGCUGACUGAGACUGACAGUGAAGUCCUCCUGAAGCUGGGGAGACUGGCCUUUGAACAUCUGGAAAAAGGAAACAUCAUGUUCUACCAAGAAGACCUGGAGCGGUGUGGUCUGGAUGUCUUAGAGGCUUCUGUGUACUCAGGAGUUUGUACAGAGAUCUUCAGAAGAGAGAGUGUGAUCUUCCAGAAAACAGUUUACUGUUUCGUUCAUCUGAGCGUUCAGGAGUUCCUGGCUGCAGUCUACAUGAUCCACAGUUUCACAAACAAGAACACAGAAAUUCUGGAGACUUUCCAGAAAGACAACAAACAAAAAGAUAAUCCGGAUAACAGUUUCCUAUCUCUGGAUGACUUCCUGAAGCUUGUCAUUGAGAAAUCUCUUCUCAGUAAAAAUGGUCACCUGGACCUGUUUGUUCGCUUCCUUCAUGGACUUUCUCUGGAGUCAAACCAGAGAGUCUCAGGAGGUCUGCUGGGUCACACAGACCACAGUUCAGAAAUGAUCCAAAGAGUCAUCGACAACCUGAAGGAGAUGAACAGUUAUUAUAUCUCUCCUGACAGAAGCAUCAAUAUUUUCUACUGUCUGAUGGAGAUGAACGAUCUGUCAGUUUAUCAGGAGAUUCAAGAGUUCCUGAAGUCAAAGGACAGAUCAGAGAAGGAACUCUCAGAGAUCCACUGCUCUGCUCUGGCCUACAUGCUGCAGAUGUCAGAGGAGGUUCUGGAUGAGUUGAACUUAUAUGAUUAUAACACAUCAGAGCAGGGACGACUGAGACUGAUCCCAGCUGUGAGAAACUGCAGAAAGGCUAAGUAAGUCCGGGUUUUAUUCUCAGAAUAGUGUAAAUGAGCUCUGUAGCUCUUCCAAUGUCCAUGUUACUGAUGAUGUUCUUCUUCAAAUAGAAAUCUACUGAAAUAUCAGGGAGGCGGGUUCUUUAGGUUUAGCAAAAACAUGAUCCUGGUGUCAAAAGUCCUAUCAGCACAGGAUGAGGUCUACCUGUGGACCCCUGAGAACUUGUCCUAAUUGUGGAGGACCUCUUUGUUUUGCAUCAAGUUGAAUAGACGGUGUCUGUAAAGAAUAAAGUAGAAAUUUUAGGACAAAUCAGCGACCAAAUCUAAGGACACACAGAGGUCUUCCGAUGAUGAUAUCAGUCCAGUCCAAAUCAACAUCUCAGUCAAUUGUGGUGAACUUGAGUUUGAAGAAGGUGGCUGCAGCUUUUUCCUGCUGGUUUUCUGGUUAGAAAUGAUGAAUCUGUCGUAAAUGAGGGUGUUGACAGCUUUUAUAGUGAAAAUAGAGCUGGAUCAUUUUCUACCCAGUGGCAGAACUGUCUCUGUAUCAUAAUGUCAACCAUUCAAUAUUCCUAAUCAAUACAACAAUGAAAACUAACAUCAUAUUCCACCACUCACUGGAUAGUAUAUGGUGGACUAUAACACAUAAAUGACGACAACACACGAGUUAUUUGGACAGCAGCUCCAUGUGUGAAAACAAUGGUGGAAACAGGAUGUUUGUGUCUCUCUCUGUCUUUGCCCUCAAUGCUGCAGGUUGGCACUGACACUACUCUGCCUCAUAACGCUUCAUGGCAUUUGGAAACAGCUGUGCUUGUCCACUUCAUAUAUGGACACCAUAAGGAUAAGCAGUUUGAUUGCAUCAUCAUCAGCAGCAGCAGCAACUUUCCAUGGUGUCCCUUUGUCAGAGUCGGCCCAAAGCAUAAGCGAACUGAGUGCCUGCUUAGGGCCCUGUGGCCAAAAGGGGCCCCCCAAGAGCAAUCAAAAUAAAUAAAAUAAAAUGAAAUAUUUUAUUUUUUGCAUGUAUGAGUGAUGCCUUCUGUAUGAUCAAAUAUAUAUUAUAGUAAAAAUAAAAUAAAGUAAAAACAUUUUA
This 4098-nucleotide long non-coding RNA is filed under the name Xyrichtys novacula (pearly razorfish). Lineage: Eukaryota; Metazoa; Chordata; Actinopteri; Labriformes; Labridae. The record is from RNAcentral.